This is a non-coding RNA of Triticum urartu, 135 nucleotides long. The record is from Rfam. NCBI's taxonomy places the organism in Eukaryota, Viridiplantae, Streptophyta, Magnoliopsida, Poales, Poaceae.
GAUGUACUCCCUCCGUCCGAAAAUACUUGUCAUCAAAAUGGAUAAAAAGGGAUGUAUUUAGAACUAAAAUAUAUCUAGAUACAUCUCAUUUUAUCCAUUUUGAUGACAAGUAUUUCCGGACGGAGGGAGUAGUAC